This 443-nucleotide ribosomal RNA is filed under the name uncultured bacterium. RNAcentral's name for it is "partial 16S ribosomal RNA". It matches the Rfam family "Bacterial small subunit ribosomal RNA", at positions 338 to 795 of the family's 1533-position model. The record is from RNAcentral.
CCUACGGGUGGCAGCAGUGGGGAAUAUUGGACAAUGGGGGGAACCCUGAUCCAGCGACGCCGCGUGAGUGAAGAAGUAUUUCGGUAUGUAAAGCUCUAUCAGCAGGGAAGAAAGAAAUGACGGUACCUGACUAAGAAGCCCCGGCUAACUACGUGCCAGCAGCCGCGGUAAUACGUAGGGGGCAAGCGUUAUCCGGAUUUACUGGGUGUAAAGGGAGCGUAGACGGCGAUGCAAGUCUGAAGUGAAAGGCGGGGGCCCAACCCCUGGACUGCUUUGGAAACUGUAUGGCUGGAGUACAGGAGAGGUAAGUGGAAUUCCUAGUGUAGCGGUGAAAUGCGUAGAUAUUAGGAGGAACACCAGUGGCGAAGGCGGCUUACUGGACUGUAACUGACGUUGAGGCUCGAAAGCGUGGGGAGCAAACAGGAUUAGAUACCCUUGUAGUC